AAGUGUGUCGGAGAACUACGGUGGCCUUCAGGUAAUGCAAAAACUUAAAAAGGCUCUCUCUAGAGCCAGCGUUUGGUUUGUCAAUUCUGGCUACUGUGGAAACAUGAUGGAGCAACAUGGCAGACUCCGUGAAGAGGACCCGCUCCCUAUAGAGUGCUGCAGGGAUGAC
Molecule: long non-coding RNA, 169 nt
Organism: Sebastes umbrosus (honeycomb rockfish)
Lineage: Eukaryota; Metazoa; Chordata; Actinopteri; Perciformes; Sebastidae
Exons: 3
Source: RefSeq, a predicted model, not a curated record